Molecule: long non-coding RNA, 540 nt
Filed under: Homo sapiens (human)
Lineage: Eukaryota; Metazoa; Chordata; Mammalia; Primates; Hominidae
Description: HSALNT0308407
Source: RNAcentral
GAGUGUACUCCUACUUAUUCGUUUCUAAGUGAACAAUAAGAGAGCCUCAGGCAGAUCCUUCAAGAGAUGUUGCAGAUGAAGGCAAUUGUUAUCAGAGGAGAUGACAGCUCCAUGAGUGUUAUUGCCCCUGAAGACCUUCCGGUGGGACAAGAUGUGGAGAUCCUACGUGGUGUAUUGGAAUCCAGAGAUGAACACAGCAGUCCCUGCCUUCCAGGAAAUAACAAUCUAGUCAGAAGGAGAAACUAUCUUGGGGAAGAAAGAUGAGUAUUUACUCAUAAGUUAAUAGAUCCAAAAAAAACUUAAAUGUCACCUAGAGUACUACUCACCCUACCCCACCUGAAACAAACUUUAAAGAUGAGAAAAUGAAGUCCAAAGACAGUAAGUGGUUACCAAAAUUCACACCUCCAGUUAUUGUCAGUCCAGAAGGUGAGCCCAGAAUUCUUGAUGUCAUAGCAUACCACCAUCUAUGUUUGACACUUGAUCAUGUAUUGUCUGUGACAUCAUUCAUAGAGUAUCAAAUAAAGGAAUGGAAGUCUAUGG